Molecule: ribosomal RNA, 270 nt
Filed under: uncultured archaeon
Lineage: Archaea
Description: partial 16S ribosomal RNA
Rfam family: Archaeal small subunit ribosomal RNA
Source: RNAcentral
CAGCACCUCAAGUGGUCAGGAUGAUUAUUGGGCCUAAAGCAUCCGUAGCCGGCGCUGUAAGUUUUCGGUUAAAUCUGUACGCUCAACGUACAGGCUGCCGGGAAUACUGCAGCGCUAGGGAGUGGGAGAGGUAGACGGUACUCGGUAGGAAGGGGUAAAAUCCUUUGAUCUAUUGAUGACCACCUGUGGCGAAGGCGGUCUACCAGAACACGUCCGACGGUGAGGGAUGAAAGCUGGGGAAGCAAACCGGAUUAGAUACCCGAGUAGUCC